RNAcentral lists this ribosomal RNA (496 nucleotides) under uncultured bacterium. RNAcentral's name for it is "partial 16S ribosomal RNA". It matches the Rfam family "Bacterial small subunit ribosomal RNA", at positions 29 to 507 of the family's 1533-position model. The record is from RNAcentral.
AUGAACGCUGGCGGCGUGCCUCAUACAUGCCAGUCGCGCGAACAGACGAGGAGCUUGCUCCUUUGACGUUAGCGGCGGACGGGUGAGUAACACGUGGGUAACCUACCUAUAAGACUGGGAUAACUUCGGGAAACCGGAGCUAAUACCGGAUAAUAUUUCGAACCGCAUGGUUCGAUAGUGAAAGAUGGCUUUGCUAUCACUUAUAGAUGGACCUGCGCCGUAUUAGCUAGUUGGUAAGGUAACGGCUUACCAAGGCAACGAUACGUAGCCGACCUGAGAGGGUGAUCGGCCACACUGGAACUGAGACACGGUCCAGACUCCUACGGGAGGCAGCAGUAGGGAAUCUUCCGCAAUGGGCGAAAGCCUGACGGAGCAACGCCGCGUGAGUGAUGAAGGUCUUCGGAUCGUAAAACUCUGUUAUUAGGGAAGAACAAACGUGUAAGUAACUGUGCACGUCUUGACGGUACCUAAUCAGAAAGCCACGGCUAACUACGUG